UACGGAGGGGGCUAGCGUUGUUCGGAAUUACUGGGCGUAAAGCGCACGUAGGCGGCUUUCUAAGUCAGGGGUGAAAUCCUGGAGCUCAACUCCAGAACUGCCUUUGAUACUGGGAAGCUCGAGUCCGGAAGAGGUGAGUGGAACUCCGAGUGUAGAGGUGAAAUUCGUAGAUAUUCGGAAGAACACCAGUGGCGAAGGCGGCUCACUGGUCCGGUACUGACGCUGAGGUGCGAAAGCGUGGGGAGCAAACAGG
Molecule: ribosomal RNA, 253 nt
Filed under: uncultured bacterium
Lineage: Bacteria
Description: partial 16S ribosomal RNA
Rfam family: Bacterial small subunit ribosomal RNA
Source: RNAcentral